This 1016-nucleotide ribosomal RNA is filed under the name Staphylococcus capitis. RNAcentral's name for it is "bacterial SSU rRNA". It matches the Rfam family "Bacterial small subunit ribosomal RNA", at positions 30 to 1030 of the family's 1533-position model. The record is from RNAcentral. Lineage: Bacteria; Bacillati; Bacillota; Bacilli; Caryophanales; Staphylococcaceae.
UGGGCGUUGGGGGGUGCUAUAAUGCAAGUCGAGCGACAGACGAGGAGCUUGCUCCUCUGACGUUAGCGGCGGACGGGUGAGUAACACGUGGAUAACCUACCUAUAAGACUGGGAUAACUUCGGGAAACCGGAGCUAAUACCGGAUAACAUGUUGAACCGCAUGGUUCAACAGUGAAAGACGGUCUUGCUGUCACUUAUAGAUGGAUCCGCGCCGCAUUAGCUAGUUGGUAAGGUAACGGCUUACCAAGGCAACGAUGCGUAGCCGACCUGAGAGGGUGAUCGGCCACACUGGAACUGAGACACGGUCCAGACUCCUACGGGAGGCAGCAGUAGGGAAUCUUCCGCAAUGGGCGAAAGCCUGACGGAGCAACGCCGCGUGAGUGAAGAAGGUCUUCGGAUCGUAAAACUCUGUUAUUAGGGAAGAACAAAUGUGUAAGUAACUAUGCACGUCUUGACGGUACCUAAUCAGAAAGCCACGGCUAACUACGUGCCAGCAGCCGCGGUAAUACGUAGGUGGCAAGCGUUAUCCGGAAUUAUUGGGCGUAAAGCGCGCGUAGGCGGUUUUUUAAGUCUGAUGUGAAAGCCCACGGCUCAACCGUGGAGGGUCAUUGGAAACUGGAAAACUUGAGUGCAGAAGAGGAAAGUGGAAUUCCAUGUGUAGCGGUGAAAUGCGCAGAGAUAUGGAGGAACACCAGUGGCGAAGGCGACUUUCUGGUCUGUAACUGACGCUGAUGUGCGAAAGCGUGGGGAUCAAACAGGAUUAGAUACCCUGGUAGUCCACGCCGUAAACGAUGAGUGCUAAGUGUUAGGGGGUUUCCGCCCCUUAGUGCUGCAGCUAACGCAUUAAGCACUCCGCCUGGGGGAGUACGACCGCAAGGUUGAAACUCAAGGAAUUGACGGGGGACCUGCACAAGCGGUGGAGCAUGUGGUUUAAUUCGAAGCAACGCGAGAUCUUUACCAAAUCUUGACAUCCUCUGACCCUUCUAGAGAUAGAGUUUUCCCCUUCGGGGGACAGA